GCCAAGGUUGUUUUAGUGGGCGCUUGCUGCGUUUAAAUGUAGGAGGUGCCAUGAUGUCUAGUUGAAAGGAGAGGGUGGAAUUGUAGGAGUUUGCAGAGCUAGGACAGGUGAGUUGAGAUCGGUAAAAGGAGAGUUUGGAGAUUAGUGGAGGUUUCUGAGAUUGAUGUUCAGCCGGUGGUGUCAACUGAGUCUUAGGUGUGCC
Non-coding RNA from Pelobates cultripes (western spadefoot toad), 202 nucleotides. The record is from the annotation of a GenBank genome assembly. NCBI's taxonomy places the organism in Eukaryota, Metazoa, Chordata, Amphibia, Anura, Pelobatidae.